Molecule: transfer RNA, 69 nt
Filed under: Bos taurus (domestic cattle)
Lineage: Eukaryota; Metazoa; Chordata; Mammalia; Artiodactyla; Bovidae
Also listed under: 5 other names
Rfam family: tRNA
About the family: Transfer RNA (tRNA) molecules are approximately 80 nucleotides in length.
Source: Rfam by way of RNAcentral
CCUGGUGGCUCAGAGGUUAAAGCGUCUGCCUGUAAUGCAGAAGACAUGGGUUCGAUCCCUGGGUCAGGA